Molecule: ribosomal RNA, 1423 nt
Filed under: human gut metagenome
Description: bacterial LSU rRNA
Rfam family: Bacterial large subunit ribosomal RNA
Source: RNAcentral
ACCUGAAACCGCAUGCAUACAAACAGUAGGAGCCUCAUCAGAGGUGACUGCGUACCUUUUGCAUAAUGGGUCAGCGACUUACAUUCUGUGGCGAGCUUAACCGAAUAGGGGAGGCGCAGCGAAAGCGAGUUCGAAAUGAGCGUCCAGUCGCAGGGUGUAGACCCGAAACCAGAUGAGCUAUCCAUGGCCAGGUUGAAGGUGUGGUAACACACACUGGAGGACCGAACCGACUAGUGUUGCAAAAUUAGCGGAUGAGCUGUGGAUAGGGGUGAAAGGCCAAACAAAUCUGGAGAUAGCUGGUUCUCCCCGAAAACUAUUGAGGUAGUGCCUCGUGUGUCGCUCCAGGGGGUAGAGCACUGUUUUGGCUAGGGGGACAUGGAGUCUUACCAAACCAAGGCAAACUCCGAAUACCUGGAAGCGUAAGCACGGGAGACAGAGCACCGGGUGCUAACGUCCGGACUCAAAAGGGAAACAACCCAGACCGCCGGCUAAGGUCCCAAAUAACAGCUAAGUGGAAAACGAAGUGGAAAGGCCGUGACAACCAGGAAGUUGGCUUAGAAGCAGCCAUCCUUCAAAGAAAGCGUAAUAGCUCACUGGUCGAGUCCUUCUGCGCGGAAGAUGUAACGGGGCUAAGCUGUUAACCGAAGCCGCGGAUGCGCUGGUUAUCCAGUGCGUGGUAGGGGAGCGUUCUGUAAGUCUGCGAAGGCGGUUCGAGAGGACUGCUGGAGAUAUCAGAAGUGCGAAUGCUGACAUGAGUAACGUUAAAGCAGGUGAAAAGCCUGCUCGCCGUAAGCCCAAGGAUUCCUGCUCUACGUUCAUCGGAGCAGGGUGAGUCGGCUCCUAAGGUCAGGCCGAAAGGCGUAGCCGAUGGGAAUCAGGUUAAUAUUCCUGAACCUGCGUCAGAUGCGAUGGGGGGACGGAGCAUGGAAGAUCAUCCGGGUGUUGGAAGUCCCGGUUGUUUAGCGUAGGAGGUCUGCAGGCAAAUCCGCAGACGCAUCUCCAAGGCAAAGACACGUGCCGCCACGGCGGCGAAGUGAUCGGAAGUGCUUCCAAGAAAAGCCUCUAAGCCCCAGUCUGAUGCGGACCGUACCGCAAACCGACACUGGUGGGCGAGCUGAAUAUGCUCAGGCGCUUGAGAGAACUCGGGAGAAGGAACUCGGCAAAUUGACACCGUAACUUCGGAAGAAGGUGUGCCGUAGUACCGUGAGAGGAGAGACACCUUGAGCGGGAAACGGUCUCAGAGAAUAGGUGGCUGCGACUGUUUAUUAAAAACACAGCACUCUGCAAAGUCGAAAGACGACGUAUAGGGUGUGAUGCCUGCCCGGUGCUGGAAGAUUAAUUGAUGGGGUGAGAGCCCUUGAUCGAAGUCCCAGUAAACGGCGGCCGUAACUAUAACGGUCCUAAGGUAGCGAAAUUCCUUGUC